RNAcentral lists this ribosomal RNA (477 nucleotides) under uncultured organism. RNAcentral's name for it is "partial 16S ribosomal RNA". It matches the Rfam family "Bacterial small subunit ribosomal RNA", at positions 332 to 800 of the family's 1533-position model. The record is from RNAcentral.
UACACUCCUGCGGGAGGCAGCAGUGGGGAAUAUCGCACAAUGGGCGCAAGCCUGAUGCAGCCAUGCCGCGUGUAUGAAGAAGGCCUUCGGGUUGUAAAGUACUUUCAGCGGGGAGGAAGGCGAUAAGGUUAAUAACCUUGUCGAUUGACGUUACCCGCAGAAGAAGCACCGGCUAACUCCGUGCCAGCAGCCGCGGUAAUACGGAGGGUGCAAGCGUUAAUCGGAAUUACUGGGCGUAAAGCGCACGCAGGCGGUCUGUCAAGUCGGAUGUGAAAUCCCCGGGCUCAACCUGGGAACUGCAUUCGAAACUGGCAGGCUAGAGUCUUGUAGAGGGGGGUAGAAUUCCAGGUGUAGCGGUGAAAUGCGUAGAGAUCUGGAGGAAUACCGGUGGCGAAGGCGGCCCCCUGGACAAAGACUGACGCUCAGGUGCGAAAGCGUGGGGAGCAAACAGGAUUAGAAACCCCGGUAGUCCCAUGA